UCUAUAUCUAUAUCUAUAUCUAUAUCUAUAUCUAUAUCUAUAUCUAUAUCUAUAUCAUCUAUAUCUAUAUCUAUAUCUAUAUCUACUCACUAUAACUAUCUUUAAGUGGCUAAUAAAGCUGUGUGAAACUUGCUUCCCACUUGUUCUUUCAGAGAAGCUGUACAUUUUUUCUCAUCAAAACAAGAUGCUGCUGGCCAUUUCUCUGCUCUAGACUGGAAGUUAAUUCUCCUGGAGCAAUUGUGAACCAACUAAGUAUUGCAAAUAUGAUAGCUGUAAUAUAUAAUAGAUGGCUGACUGCCAGUCUUAAUACUCUUUUUGUUACUAACUGAAGUAUGUAAUUUACAUUCUAUUCUACUUUUUGCAGAAGUUGCACUCAGGUAUUUCUCAAAAGAUAUUUCCCCAUCAAGAAAUAAUUUUCUGAAUAUUAAUAAUGUUAAAAAGCCCUGCAGAACACUAGACAAGCUUUAUGGAAGGUUUAAUAACCACUUAAAAACAUAAUCUUUAGUUAAUUGUUUUAAGUAUAGGCCUGCCAAUCAAGAUACAAAAAUAUGCAUGGCUGCUAGCAAAUCACUGUAAGAAUUUUAACUUGAUGUUUGCACAAUUUGAGAGGAAAUCUGUGUUGAUACUGUGAAAGGUAGAGAAAAUUAUAGACAAAUAAUUUAAAGUUCCCUAUUUGAAAUAUGAUUUUAAAGUCAAUAUCUAUAUUCAUGACCUCAGAGCAAUGAGGAAAGGAAGUACAGGAAAAAUGCAAGAAGUUUGAUUCAGUAGAUACUUUACCUGCCAUGCAUCCUUGUGUGGGUGAGUUGUUGGCCUGGCACUGCAUAAUUCUAACAAGGAUGGUUGGGUUUUUUUCAGGAGUUGAACUUUAAUGAUUUUUAUGGGUCCCUUCCAACUCAGGAUAUUCUAUGAUUCUGCGAUUCUAUGAUUUACUUAUAGGGAUUUUAUUUAGUGGAUCCUAUAAUGGAUUUAUAAUUGAUUCAUUCUUGACUCCAUUUAUUUUCUUAAAGGAGGCUUUUGAAUGUCAGCAACAUUUGCCUGAAAUCAGGAAAGCCUGGCUUUCAGGAGCCCCAGAAAGUGAGUGGCAGAAAUCAUCUCUGUGGACACCUCUUAGAAGCAACUGUAUUCUUCUAGGACUUAAAGAAAAUGUUGAAUUUUUGAAAAACAGAGAGUGUAAGCUAAUAUUUUUGGCUCAGGAUAAGUGGAAAAAAACCAAAAAAGAACAAAACUCAGCAUCAGAUGCAGUGUCAUUGCAAUGAGCAAUCAACUGUCACGUACACCAUGAAGGCCAAGUAAAAUUACAGUUCAGUGCAUUCCCAAGAGUCCUAUCACUGUAUACCAGGGAGAAGAGACCAACACCUUGUUCUGCACUUCCUCUCUUUGGGAAGCUGGAGAGAGACAUGAGGUCAUCCCUUCUCCAAGCCAGACAAACCCAAAGUCUGCAGCUCCCCUUCACAGGAUGUUCAUUUCAGCCCUUGCAUCAGCUGCUCUUCAUGCCUUC
This 1498-nucleotide long non-coding RNA is filed under the name Cyanistes caeruleus (blue tit). RNAcentral's name for it is "lncRNA (ENSCCEG00000010462.1)". The record is from RNAcentral. Lineage: Eukaryota; Metazoa; Chordata; Aves; Passeriformes; Paridae.